AAACAAGUUCUUCGUGGAUGCAUCUGGCUGCCCUACCGAGCUGCAGCACUUUUUUUUUCCCCCUCAUCGCUUCCCCCCCACCAUGCGAGUGGUAUGUCUGAACCAUAUCCUUCAAAACCAGUUUUCUAAGCAGAUUAGAUGGGUAGCAGAGACAGCUAUGCAAUCAGGCAAAAAUGUGCACUCAAGCCUUCAUUUUGUGCAGUGGCCAGAGCAAAAUAUUAUGUUGACUUGUCCAGGUUUCUUGAAUGGGAAUACCUCUUUGUUUGGCUUUUCUUCAACUAGUCUAAAACGUUUCACUCCAUGUUGGUUCAAAACACUGUGGUGCAUUCUUAGCAGUGCACUGCUGCUCGCUACUGCUCCGAGAGCUGUCGUUUGGCCUGCCCGUUCUCUUCUGCCGGACGUCCUGAGGGCCUUGGACUUCUGACACUGCAUUAUAGAUCUCCCUGAGACCAAACUGUACCAUGGGACACCUCUGUGUGCGCUGUGGGAAUUGUCUUCCAGCCAGAAAGACUGACCCAGAAGUGAGAACAGGGUUAUCAGGCUGCCAAGCUGCAGUGUCUAUGAAGCAACACAACAUUGUGGGAAUAAAAGCAGUUCAAUAGUGUACUGACUCA
Molecule: long non-coding RNA, 614 nt
Filed under: Apteryx owenii (little spotted kiwi)
Lineage: Eukaryota; Metazoa; Chordata; Aves; Apterygiformes; Apterygidae
Description: lncRNA (ENSAOWG00000006218.1)
Source: RNAcentral